UCCGUAGGUGGAUAAUUAAGUCAGAGGUGAAAUCCUGCAGCUCAACUGUAGAAUUGCCUUUGAUACUGGUUAUCUUGAGUCAUUAUGAAGUGGUUAGAAUGUGUAGUGUAGCGGUGAAAUGCAUAGAUAUUACACAGAAUACCGAUUGCGAAGGCUGAUCACUAAUAAUGUACUGACACUGAGGGACGAAAGCGUGGGGAGCGAACAGGAUUAGAUACCCUGGUAGUCC
This 229-nucleotide ribosomal RNA is filed under the name uncultured bacterium. RNAcentral's name for it is "partial 16S ribosomal RNA". It matches the Rfam family "Bacterial small subunit ribosomal RNA", at positions 568 to 796 of the family's 1533-position model. The record is from RNAcentral.